Molecule: ribosomal RNA, 282 nt
Filed under: uncultured prokaryote
Description: partial 16S ribosomal RNA
Rfam family: Bacterial small subunit ribosomal RNA
Source: RNAcentral
CACGGGGGUUGCGAGCGUUGUCCGGAAUUACUAGGCGUAAAGGGCAGGCAGGCGGAUCCAUAAGUUUAUCGUUUAAGGCGUCGGCUUAACCGGCGUAGGGCGGUAGAUACUGUGGAUCUGGAAUGCGGUUGGGGAAGACAGAAUUCCUGGUGUAGCGGUGGAAUGCGCAGAGAUCAGGAGGAAUACCGAAGGCGAAGGCAGUCUUCCAAGCCGUUAUUGACGCUCAACUGCGAAGGUGUGGGUAUCAAACGGGAUUAGAUACCCGGGUAGUCCCUGAGCGGG